RNAcentral lists this ribosomal RNA (497 nucleotides) under uncultured bacterium. Its description in RNAcentral is "partial 16S ribosomal RNA". It matches the Rfam family "Bacterial small subunit ribosomal RNA", at positions 28 to 507 of the family's 1533-position model. The record is from RNAcentral.
GAUGAACGCUGGCGGCGUGCCUAAUACAUGCAAGUCGAGCGAACAGACGAGGAGCUUGCUCCUCUGACGUUAGCGGCGGACGGGUGAGUAACACGUGGAUAACCUACCUAUAAGACUGGGAUAACUUCGGGAAACCGGAGCUAAUACCGGAUAAUAUAUUGAACCGCAUGGUUCAAUAGUGAAAGACGGUUUUGCUGUCACUUAUAGAUGGAUCCGCGCCGCAUUAGCUAGUUGGUAAGGUAACGGCUUACCAAGGCAACGAUGAGUAGCCGACCUGAGAGGGUGAUCGGCCACACUGGAACUGAGACACGGUCCAGACUCCUACGGGAGGCAGCAGUAGGGAAUCUUCCGCAAUGGGCGAAAGCUUGACGGAGCAACGCCGCGUGAGUGAUGAAGGUCUUCGGAUCGUAAAACUCUGUUAUUAGGGAAGAACAAAUGUGUAAGUAACUAUGCACGUCUUGACGGUACCUAAUCAGAAAGCCACGGCUAACUACGUG